AGUGAACGCUGGCGGUAGGCCUAACACAUGCAAGACGAACGGCAGCACAGUAAGAGCUUGCUCUUACGGGUGGCGAGUGGCGGACGGGUGAGGAAUACAUCGGAAUCUACUUUUUCGUGGGGGAUAACGUAGGGAAACUUACGCUAAUACCGCAUACGACCUACGGGUGAAAGCAGGGGAUCUUCGGACCUUGCGCGAUUGAAUGAGCCGAUGUCGGAUUAGCUAGUUGGCGGGGUGAAGGCCCACCAAGGCGACGAUCCGUAGCUGGUCUGAGAGGAUGAUCAGCCACACUGGAACUGAGACACGGUCCAGACUCCUACGGGAGGCAGCAGUGGGGAAUAUUGGACAAUGGGCGCAAGCCUGAUCCAGCCAUACCGCGUGGGUGAAGAAGGCCUUCGGGUUGUAAAGCCCUUUUGUUGGGAAAGAAAAGCAGCAGGUUAAUACCCCGCUGUUCUGACGGUACCCAAAGAAUAAGCACCGGCUAACUUCGUG
RNAcentral lists this ribosomal RNA (492 nucleotides) under uncultured bacterium. RNAcentral's name for it is "partial 16S ribosomal RNA". It matches the Rfam family "Bacterial small subunit ribosomal RNA", at positions 29 to 507 of the family's 1533-position model. The record is from RNAcentral.